Small nuclear RNA from Pipistrellus kuhlii (Kuhl's pipistrelle), 104 nucleotides. NCBI's taxonomy places the organism in Eukaryota, Metazoa, Chordata, Mammalia, Chiroptera, Vespertilionidae. The record is from RefSeq and is a predicted model, not a curated record.
UAUACUGAAAUUGGAAUGAUACUGAAAUUGGAACAAUACAGAGAAGAUUAGCAUGGCCCUUGCACAGAUAUGACACGGAAAAUGAGCAAAUGAAAAUAAAAUAA